GGGUGAGUAACACGUGGGCAACCUGCCCAAAAGAGGGGGAUAACACUUGGAAACAGGUGCUAAUACCGCAUAACCAUAGUUACCGCAUGGUAACUAUGUAAAAGGUGGCUAUGCUACCGCUUUUGGAUGGGCCCGCGGCGCAUUAGCUAGUUGGUGGGGUAAAGGCUUACCAAGGCAAUGAUGCGUAGCCGAACUGAGAGGUUGAUCGGCCACAUUGGGACUGAGACACGGCCCAAACUCCUACGGGAGGCAGCAGUAGGGAAUCUUCCACAAUGGGCGAAAGCCUGAUGGAGCAACGCCGCGUGGGUGAAGAAGGUCUUCGGAUCGUAAAACCCUGUUGUUAGAGAAGAAAGUGCGUGAGAGUAACUGUUCACGUUUCGACGGUAUCUAACCAGAAAGCCACGGCUAACUACGUGCCAGCAGCCGCGGUAAUACGUAGGUGGCAAGCGUUAUCCGGAUUUAUUGGGCGUAAAGGGAACGCAGGCGGUCUUUUAAGUCUGAUGUGAAAGCCUUCGGCUUAACCGGAGUAGUGCAUUGGAAACUGGGAGACUUGAGUGCAGGAGAGGAGAGUGGAACUCCAUGUGUAGCGGUGAAAUGCGUAGAUAUAUGGAAGAACACCAGUGGCGAAAGCGGCUCUCUGGUCUGUAACUGACGCUGAGGUUCGAAAGCGUGGGUAGCAAACAGGAUUAGAUACCCUGGUAGUCCACGCCGUAAACGAU
RNAcentral lists this ribosomal RNA (719 nucleotides) under uncultured bacterium. Its description in RNAcentral is "bacterial SSU rRNA". It matches the Rfam family "Bacterial small subunit ribosomal RNA", at positions 104 to 810 of the family's 1533-position model. The record is from RNAcentral.